Suricata suricatta (meerkat) is the source of this 1104-nucleotide long non-coding RNA. RefSeq lists it as uncharacterized. NCBI's taxonomy places the organism in Eukaryota, Metazoa, Chordata, Mammalia, Carnivora, Herpestidae. The transcript is spliced from 5 exons. The record is from RefSeq and is a predicted model, not a curated record.
AAGAACCUUAAGCAAGGUCAUGGAAUUUCCGGACUAGAAGAUCCCAAACUCGACAAACCCUCCGGGCUUCCAGAGACAAAGAACAGAAGCCCCGAGAGGAAGACCGGGUCAUUCUGGGAAUUAGAAGCAGAGGCUACCUAGACACCGCAUCCUCCAAAGGGAGGCCACGGACGAAACCGCCGCCCCUGGUGCGGCGCUCGGAGAGCUGCUCCCCGGCUGCUCCCGCCCGCCACCUCCACACUCAGAGGCAGUGCUGGGCGGCCGGGGCGAGACAUCGGGCGCGGCGGGUACAGACGCUUGGCGCGCGAGGAAAGAGUGCCCCAAGAAUUAUUAAGAGAAUUGAAAGAAACUGGGUGAAGCGCUUAGCAUGGUGACACAGAGCACUCAAUGCCUAGAACCCAUCACAGUUCCCUGCCUACAGUAAGAAUCUGAUGAAUGAACACCAGAAAUAAGGGGGAAAAACCUAUGGUGACAGACAUCAGAAAGGUGGUUUCCUCCGGCGAGAAACAGUCCCCGUUUGAGGCAUGAAGGAGUCUGUGAAGGUGAUGAAAUGUUUUCUCUUGAUCUGGUGGCAGCUACAUAGAUAUUUAAACAUGCAGAACUUCACUGAGCUGUACAGUCACACCUCUCAACUAGAGUAGUGACCACUUCUCAUCAAGCAUGCUGGCAGCACAGAAAGCAAACCCAGCCUGGAAUCUGCGGUUCCGAGUCCUCGGGUCGAAGCACAAACCUCCUCAGGGUUUACUGGGUGUUCCAGGAAUGGGGCAGCAGGAAGAGGGGAGCCCUGAGGAGCCUCUAGAUGAAGACAGAUGGGCAAAGAGGGAAAUCUGUGGAUGCCGGCAAAGAAGACUGCAGCCACCGUGGUGGCAGACAGGGACAGCUAAGGUGCAGGAGAAUCUCUGCUGAAGGGAGGCACCCAGUGAGCAAAGGGCAUUUCCCAAGCAGACACUGGGGACUGAUGAACCCAGAACAGAAGAGCCUCCCGUGAGCCUCUGCUCUGUUUAAGACCAAGGGGCUGAAGGGCAGAUUCCAGGUGCCUGAAAGGACCUGACUAUUAAGGCAGGAUGGCAUCACUGUCAAAAUAAAUUUGCUGUAAAGAACAUA